GCUGAGGUAUUGGAGGCCCCCACCGACAUACUCCGGCAAUGAACCAGAGAUGACGUUGUUGGAGAGAACAAGUGAUUGAAGCUCAGAAGCGUUGAACAACGAGGGCGGGUAGAGUUCCAUUGAAGGAAUUAUUGGAGAGAUCGAGAUGAUGAAGGUGUUCGAUCAU
This is a long non-coding RNA of Telopea speciosissima, 166 nucleotides long. RefSeq lists it as uncharacterized. The transcript is spliced from 3 exons. NCBI's taxonomy places the organism in Eukaryota, Viridiplantae, Streptophyta, Magnoliopsida, Proteales, Proteaceae. The record is from RefSeq and is a predicted model, not a curated record.